Molecule: ribosomal RNA, 1567 nt
Filed under: human gut metagenome
Description: bacterial LSU rRNA
Rfam family: Bacterial large subunit ribosomal RNA
Source: RNAcentral
ACCUUUUGUAUAAUGGGUCAGCGACUUAAUUUAUGUAGCAAGCUUAAGCCGAUAGGUGUAGGCGUAGAGAAAUCGAGUGUUAACAGCGCGUUAAGUUACAUGAAUUAGACCCGAAACCGAGUGAUCUAGCCAUGAUCAGGUUGAAGGUUGGGUAACACCAACUGGAGGACCGAACCCACUCCCGUUGAAAAGGUAGGGGAUGAAUUGUGGCUAGGGGUGAAAGGCCAAUCAAACUCGGAAAUAGCUGGUUCUCCGCGAAAACUAUUUAGGUAGUGCGGUGAGCGGACACCUUGAGGGGUAGAGCACUGGAAGAGCUAAGGGGGAGCGAUCCUUACUAAACUUUACCAAACUCCGAAUACUCAAGAGUGAUACUCACCAGACAGACAUUAGGUGCUAAGGUCUAGUGUCGAGAGGGAAAGAGCCCAGACCGCCAAUUAAGGUCCCAAAAUUAUGGCUAAGUGGUAAAGGAAGUGAAACGUCCAAAACAGUCAGGAGGUUGGCUUAGAAGCAGCCAUCCUUUAAAGAAAGCGUAAUAGCUCACUGAUCUAAAUAAGACGUCUUGCGCCGAAGAUGUAACGGGGCUAAAGCCAUAUACCGAAGUUGCGGAUUUACACGUUAAAGUGUAAGUGGUAGCGGAGCGUUCUGUAAGCCUGCGAAGGUGUACCGUAAGGUAUGCUGGAGGUAUCAGAAGUGAGAAUGCUGACAUGAGUAGCGAAAAGAAGAGUGAGAGACUCUUCCGCUGAAAGUCCAAGGUUUCCUGCGUAAAGCUAAUCUGCGCAGGGUUAGUCGGUCCCUAAGGCGAGGCAGAGAUGCGUAGUCGAUGGCAAUCAGGUUAAUAUUCCUGAACCGGCCCGGAAGUGACGGAUUGAGUAAAUUGUAAGUUCUUAUUGGAUUGAGCUUGCAGUGAAUCAGUCCCAGGAAAUAGCCCGGGCUAAGACCGUACCCGAAACCGACACAGGUGGACAGGUAGAGAAUACCAAAGCGCUUGAGAGAACUAUGUUGAAGGAACUAGGCAAAAUACUUGCGUAACUUCGGGAUAAGCAAGCCCCAUUUUAAGGCAACUUAGGGUGGGGGGCACAUACUAGGGGGUAGCGACUGUUUACUAAAAACACAGGGCUCUGCUAAAUUGAAAGAUGAAGUAUAGGGUCUGACGCCUGCCCGGUGCUGGAAGGUUAAGGAGAGAUGUGCAAGCAUUGAACUGAAGCCCCAGUAAACGGCGGCCGUAACUAUAACGGUCCUAAGGUAGCGAAAUUCCUUGUCGGGUAAGUUCCGACCUGCACGAAUGGCGUAACGACUUCCCCGCUGUCUCCAACAUAGGCUCAGCGAAAUUGAACUCUGAGUUAAGAUGCUCAGUACCCGCGGUUAGACGGAGAGACCCCGUGAACCUUUACUAUAGCUUUGCAGUGGUAUUAGGUAACAAAUGUGUAGAAUAGGUGGGAUGCUAUGAAGCUACGACGCCAGUUGUAGUGGAGCAGACUUUGAAAUACCACCCUUUUGUUGUUUGAUAUCUAACCUGCUCCCGUUAUCCGGGAGAGGGACCCUGCAUGGUGGGUAGUUUGACUGGGGC